This 331-nucleotide long non-coding RNA is filed under the name Ananas comosus (pineapple). RNAcentral describes it as "long non-coding RNA (ACOM_LNC044227)". Lineage: Eukaryota; Viridiplantae; Streptophyta; Magnoliopsida; Poales; Bromeliaceae. The record is from RNAcentral.
CAAUAUAUUUUGAAAUCUUAUAAUAAUUAAUUUUUAUCAUAAUUAUUUUUGGAGUACAAUCUUUAAUUUUUAUGAAAUUAAUUUAAUUUUGACGGAUUUUUGAUGAAAAUAUUCAGAAUUUUCGAAAUCUGUGAAAGUGUACCGGUACAAAAUACCGCGUACCGGUACAAAACACUGUAUACCGCGUUAUUAUAACCGGUUACAGGGCUCAGUUUUCUUUCAAAACAUAAUCAACAUCUCUCCUCUCUCUCUCUAAAAUUCCCUGGUGCCUUCCUCCUUCAGAUUCACAUGUUUUCUUCAACAUCUCUCCUCUCUCUCUCUAAAAUUCCCU